Molecule: long non-coding RNA, 5702 nt
Filed under: Homo sapiens (human)
Lineage: Eukaryota; Metazoa; Chordata; Mammalia; Primates; Hominidae
Description: HSALNT0371678
Source: RNAcentral
CUUUCACCUUUCCACUCCUCUCUGGUGCUAAGGAGCCUAAGACGAGAAGAUAACCCCAGUUGUAUUCACGGUGGGUUAUAUGCUUUUUCAUAUUUUUCCUAAUAUGGACAGUGUUUAUUCUCCAUCUCUCCUUUCACUUCUCACGUUAACGGCAAUGAUAAUAAAAGAGCAUCGAAAGUGAUCAAAGAAAAUAUAGUGAAGAAAGAAAGAAUCCAGGGGCUUGGAGACCAGAAGAGACUUCAAUGUAUCUGAGUUUUGACUGGGGACCACAUGUCAGACUAUGAUGGGAAUGAAGAAAGCAGAAACUCCUCAUUCUGGCCAUGAAAUACCUUAAAUGAGGCUUGGGUGCCAAAAGAAAUAAGCUUCCAGAGCAGAGAGUCCCUGAAGCACGAUGCUGGCUCUUGAAUUAAGGAGCUUGGGGAUGCAGCAGCUGCUUCUGUUCCAGGGAGGGGGAAGAACAGGAGAGGCAUCACUCACUGUUCUAUGGAAGUGUGUGGAUCCCAGUCUCCUCCAAGAACGGAUGGGGAACACUGGCCCAGAGACCACCCCAUCAAACUAGAAGCUGGGUCACAAGAGGAGCAGGGAGAGAGAACUCCACGCCAGGCACCAGGAUCCCAAUUAGGGCUGACACUUACAGCCAUAAGAACCGGAGCUCAGAUGCGUGUUUAUAGCAUCUGCUGGAAAUACAGGAGCGUCUGUGCGAUGUGCUCUGUUUAGGAGGGCUCGUGUGGUGAAAAUGAGGGGCAGCUGAGUCUUUGAAACAGCUGGCCUUCUUUCUAAGUCCCUCCAAAAGAGGCACAGUCGAGUUCCCAGACAGCUGUUUUGCUGCAAACUCUGUACCUGGACAAUACAGGCAAUCAACCUCCUAAAGAAAACAGGCAUUAUUUUGACUCAAACAGGCCACUUUUGCACAUGAUUUACUUCCUGAUGAACAAUUUUUCCUGAACAAUAUACGUUUUGUUUGAUUUGCACAGGGAUUUUAAACAUCCAAGCAAAUGUUAAAAAAUUGAAAGAUUUCUGGAUUUUCAGCAGGUCUAGAAAAAUCCAGAGAUCUGGCAACUGACAGCCGGCAUUCCCACCUGGGAAGGCUCUAGAGCCUAAAGAAUGGAUGUGUCCUCUGAGAGGGUGCAGCCGGCCACCCUCCCCGCCUCUCACAGCCUGCAGGGCAUGGUCAUUCCACCCGCUUCCUUACCCACCUCCUCCUUUCACCUGUCCCUUGCAUUUGCGACUCCUGGUUAAAUGGCUCAGAAUUUCACAUGGAUGCCUCUGAGUCCAGCUAGCUUUGCAGCCUCUCAGCAUUCAGUCCUACAAUUACAAGUGUCAGUGACAGCCCCUCUAGGGGACUGAUGAAGUAUCCCAGGAAAGGUUUCCAAAAGGCAACGUGCAUCCCUUGAGUAAGGUUGAAUCACGUGGACAGAAAGUGUUUCCUUUUUAGAUUCUUUUAGAAGUUUUGAGGUUAAAGUGAAAGUCUCCCACAUGGCCCGUAACCAGUCCUGGGCACAGACACCCCCGGAGCUGCAACAAGGAGGGACUGGAGGAGUAAAAGGGGCACCACGCGGGGUCCCUCCCUCUCCUCCCGCAGGCCAUUCCUGGCUCCCUGCCUCUUCCCUGGCCCCUUCACUCAUCUGGUGCCAGCUUUUGACUUUGUUCCCCAAUUUCUAUGUUGGGUGUGAAGGCCAGGAGAGGGGUGACAAAAUAAAGUUAGGAAGGGCAGAAACUCGGACUAGAAAUCCCUCACAGCAGCUCCCUGUGCUCCAUGAUUCAGAAUGGGGGGAAAAGGCAGUGCCAUAUUGUCGUGGAAAUGUCUGCCACUGGUUUAUUUAUACUAAAACGCUGAGAACAAACAACCCAGGUGCCCCGCGAUAGGGGGCUUUCUAAAUAAAUUCAGGUCCAUCCACUUAAUCAGUUAUUUAAAAAGCUAAGUAUGGGACAAGCAAAGUACUUUGGCAACGUUAAGUUACAAAAGAGACGUAACAUAUUACAGACUGAUCUCAAUGGUAUAAAAAUACUUCGAUAUACUCUGUAAGGCAGGACGCAAUAAUGGUAAUAGUUACAUAAGAUAUGGAAUAUGGGUUUAAAAAACAUAUCUUUGAAUAUGUUUUUAUGAUUACAAAAGUAAAAUAAAGGCAUUAAAAAAAUAAGCCUAAUAAAAAGGUAAGGAGAAGAAAAUCUCAGCUUGGUCUGCUUGCAAGCUUGUCCAACCUGUAGCCCACAGGCUGCGUGUGUGGCCCAGGACAGCUUUGAAUGUGGCCCAACACAAAUUUGUAAACUUUCUUACAACAUUAUGAGAUUGUUUUGCAAUUUCUUUUUCCAGCUCAUCAGCUAUCGCUAGUGUUAGCAUAUAUUAUGUGUGGCCCAAAGACAAUUCUUCCAAUGUGGCCCAGAGAAGCCAAAAGACUGGACACCCUUGCACUCUCGUGUGUCCACAGCACUUCCCUGCACCUGCUAACCCCUUUCUCUAACCUCCAAGGCAAGCACACAGCCUCUUGCUAUUAACAUUAGCUAGCUAGACUUCAAUAGGAUUUUUAUGCUUUUUUUUUGUUUGUUUGUUUUUGAGACAGAGUCUCACUCUGUUGCCCAAGCUAGAGUGUACUGGUGUGAUCUUGGCUCACUGCAACCUCCGCCUCCUGGGUUCAAGCCAUUCUCCUGCCUUAGCCUCCUGAGUAGCUGGGAUUACAGGCACGCACCACCAUGAACAGCUUAAUUUUUGUAUUUUUAGUAGAGGCAGGGUUGGCCUGCUGGUCUCAAAUUCCUUGAACUCCUGACCUCAGGUGAUCCACCAGCCUCGGCUUCCCAAAAUGCUGGGGUUACAGGCGUGAGCCAUCGCACCUGGCCAGGAUUUUUAUGUUUUAAUUGUAUUUGUUUAUGCUCACCUUUAUUUUGUGCAACUGAUAGGCAUUUUCUCCAUUUAUUUGUGUACAUUAAAGUUAUUUUUUAAAUAAAACAUUUUUAUGAUUUGCCUAAAUAUUCAUUUGGAUGCUUACUUCCCGUGAGUGUCUUUAUUCUUUUCUAUAUUUGCCCAAUGGUAUGAUACCUCAGUUCAUGAGACCGUUAGAAAGAUUUACUGAAAUAAUGUACACAGAGCAUUUUGUAAAGUGCCAGAGACAGUGAAAUACACACAGUAUUAUUCUGUGUGCUGUCAAGCACUAUAAAAUCUACAGAAUAUUAUGGUUUUCUAUGUAAGUUUCUAUUUUUAAGAUACUAUAUUUGCUUCUGGAAGAGAUGUUAACAGUAGCGUUUUAAUAAGAAUGCCUAAUGAGAAACUUGAGACACAUAAGUGAACCGGUUGAAGUGAAGGUGUUCAGCACCUAACAGCACAGGUGCAUGUGGGCCAGUGGGAAGUGGAGCGGCAGGCAGGUGUGCCUACACCGACCCCGCUGGGGAGCCCGCCUCAUCAACAGCCUUAGGGGGUUGCAUUCCCAACACGGAGUCCCCCCUGAACUUCAGAGUAUGCCCACAGUUUAAAGAAACACCUAAGUUUUAGCAUUUUCCCUGAAGGAAUGAGCUUAAAGUAAGGCUCCAGGAAUGCUUGAGGCAGAAACCUUUAUCAGAUCAAGGUGCAACGUUCGAAUCAAAAGCAGCCAGGGUCCGCUCUUCCCUCUUGCCAGUGCUGAGGUCAGACUCACUGCUCGCUUCACUGCUCCCCAGCUACUCAGACUCACCCGGACACCUGGUUUUGAAAAAAGAUGCAGACCGAGGAAAGGAGAUGAAGGGGGAGGCGGAAGAUGCUUCCUAAGGAACAGGAGGAUGCCAAAAGAACCGCAAGAUGUGUUCCUGCCUUUCAGCACGCUCUCUAUGUGCUUUUCUGCCUCUUCCCUGCAGACACAGAAGCAUUUGCUUCAUGCUCGAUCCUCUCUGUCACAGGGCACUGACGGGGAAGGACCUGGGCAGCAUGCUAAUUGCUCUGUUGGCCUCGCACCCUGUAAAUACGACGUGCACUCUGGUAAAUUGUUGGCUGACUUUGCCUGACUGCCGAGAUGCUCAGACCUCUCCCAGGGUGAUGGGGAGCCUGGAAACCAAAUGCCACGCGGUCUGGUGUGUGUAUGGAGCAGGUGCUAGCUGUCUUCCUGGGUCUGAGUGUUUAUAGACAGAUGGUUUCAGGACCAUAACAACCCUGGUCUUUCAGAGGUUCUAGGUUACAGGGAGACGGCACUCCAGCAGAACAGCUGUUUUGCUUGACAGUUUUCCUAACAAAUGCUCUCUCCCCGUCUAAGAGGACAUUUCACCAGGGGAGGAAGCGGGAGGGGGGGGGCUCUUAUGUUUCUGAGAGUCUCAGUUUGGGUUCAUUAGAAGCCGAUCAUAAGACAAGGAUUCAUUUGCAAGUGACUGAUUAAGGAUGUUGUUUCCUUUCUCCCCACGCACCAGGAGAAACUGGAAAGGGAGAAGGGGAGAGGGAAAUAGUUCACAUUGCAGGAAGAAGCAAACAGAAGGUGUGCUUUCAAUGACCCAGCCUGCAGCCUGACCCUGUGGGAAGCUCUGAGUCCAACCGUGUCCAUGACAAUUCAGAGUUGUCUGCAGUGGGGGAGAUGGGGCUGAGCUUUCGUAUUCCACACCUGUCCAUCAUCAGCAAAGAGGAUCCCAGGAAGAAGCUCCCAGGCUCUUCUAAGAAUCCGCACAAGUGCACAAAAGUGAGGGGCAGCCCCAGGUGGUGCAGUGACGGAAGCAGGUUCAGGAUGACAGAGCCAACCCCAUGAUUACAGACUGAAUUGUUCCCUCCAAAAUUCAUCUCACAAAGCCCUCUGCCCCAGUGUGACUAUAUUUGGAGAGCAGGCUUUUAAGAUGGUAAUUAAGGUUAAAUAAAGUCCUAAGAGGGGGCUCUAAUCCCACAGGACUGGUGUCCUUACGGGAAGAUGAAGAAGCCAAGUUCAGUGGCUCACACCUGUAAUCUCAGCACUUUGGGAGGCCGAGGUAGGUGGAUCACUUGAGCUCAGGAGUUUGAACCCAUCCUGGGCAACAUGAUGAAACCCUAUCUCUACAAAAAAUGCAAACAUUAGCUGGGCUUGGUGGUGCAUGCCUGUAGUCUCAGCUACUUGGCGGAUCGCUUGAGAGGAGGAUCGCUUGAGCCCAGGAAGUCAAGGCUACAGUGAGUCCUGUUUACACCACUGCACCCCAGGCUGGGUGACAGAGCGAGACCCUGUCUCGAAAAAAAAAAAAAGACAAGACACCAGGAGCUUCUCUCUCUCCAUGCACAGAGGAAAGGCCCUCUGAGGACACAAGAUGCCGAGAGGGUGGCGAACUGCAAGCCAGGAAGAGAUCCCUCACCAGAAACCACCCUUGACAGCACCCUGACCUCGGACUUUCCAGAAUUCAGAUGGUGAGAAAAUAAAUUUCUGUGUUUUAAGCCAACCAGUCUGUGGAAUUUUGUUCAGGCAGCCCUAGCUGGCUAACACACCUACCGAGGGAUAUAGAGCAGUGAAAGAGAUUUAACGGGAACCAGGGUGGAGCAGUGUCUGCCAGCUGGGGUGAUCCAUUGGGUGUAUUUCCUUUCAGGACAAGAAUAAGCACAAGCGACAGCUUGUCCUCCGAGGCAGACCUCCCAGGUUUGAAUUCCACCUCCAGCUCUUACUGAGUGGGUUUGAAAAAUGCAUCAUGUCUCGGUUCCCCCCAUGCAAAUUGAGGUCAUGGCUCACUGUGUCUACCUCGAAUGCUUGAAGGAGGAUUAGAUGCUUAGGAGGAUUAUAUGCAAAGCAUUUGGAGAGCGC